Molecule: ribosomal RNA, 505 nt
Filed under: uncultured bacterium
Lineage: Bacteria
Description: partial 16S ribosomal RNA
Rfam family: Bacterial small subunit ribosomal RNA
Source: RNAcentral
GACGAACGCUGGCGGCGUGCCUAAUACAUGCAAGUAGAACGCACAGUUUAUACGGUAGCUUGCUACACAAUAGACUGUAAGUUGCGAAUGAGUGAGUAACGCGUAGGUAACCUGCCUGGUAGAGGGGGAUAACUAUUGGAAACGAUAGCUAUAACCGCGUAAUAUUGAUUAUUGCAUGAUAAUUAAUUGAAAGGUGCAAUUGCACCACUAACAGAUGGACCUGCGUUGUAUUAGCUAGUAGGUGAGGUAACGGCUCACCUAGGCGACGAUACAUAGCCGACCUGAGAGGGUGAUCGGCCACACUGGGACUGAGACACGGCCCAGACUCCUACGGGAGGCAGCAGUAGGGAAUCUUCGGCAAUGGACGAAAGUCUGACCGAGCAACGCCGCGUGAGUGAAGAAGGUUUUCGGAUCGUAAAGCUCUGUUGUAAGAGAAGAACGGGUGUGAGAGUGGAAAGUUCACACUGUGACGGUAGCUUACCAGAAAGGGACGGCUAACUACGUG